CGCGACGCGUGCGCAGAGGCUUCAACCCGAGCGUCCGACUCCCUGGCGCACCUUCCCCGGUGCCAGGUAGUGACGCUCGGACCUCGGGUUGAAACCCCUGCGCACGGAUCGCGCGAA
Regulatory RNA element from Friedmanniella luteola, 117 nucleotides. It matches the Rfam family "mraW RNA". The record is from Rfam. NCBI's taxonomy places the organism in Bacteria, Bacillati, Actinomycetota, Actinomycetes, Propionibacteriales, Nocardioidaceae.